GACGAACGCUGGCGGCGUGCUUAACACAUGCAAGUCGAGCGGUAAGGCCCUUUCGGGGGUACACGAGCGGCGAACGGGUGAGUAACACGCGGGUGACCUGCCCUCAGCUCUGGGAUAAGCCUGGGAAACCGGGUCUAAUACCGGAUAUGACUCCAUGACGCAUGUUGUGGGGUGGAAAGCCUUGUGCGGCUGAGGAUGGGCCCGCGGCCUAUCAGCUUGUUGGUGGGGUGAUGGCCUACCAAGGCGACGACGGGUAGCCGGCCUGAGAGGGCGACCGGCCACACUGGGACUGAGUCACGGCCCAGACUCCUACGGGAGGCAGCAGUGGGGAAUCUUGCGCAAUGGGCGAAAGCCUGACGCAGCGACGCCGCGUGAGGGAUGACGGCCU
RNAcentral lists this ribosomal RNA (388 nucleotides) under uncultured bacterium. RNAcentral describes it as "bacterial SSU rRNA". It matches the Rfam family "Bacterial small subunit ribosomal RNA", at positions 28 to 417 of the family's 1533-position model. The record is from RNAcentral.